CCUACGGGUGGCAGCAGUGGGGAAUAUUGCACAAUGGGGGAAACCCUGAUGCAGCGACGCCGCGUGAGUGAAGGAGUACUUCGUUAUGUAAAGCUCUAUCAGCAGGGGAGAAAAUGACGGUACCUGAGUACGACUCCCCGGCUAACUACGUGCCAACAGCCGCGGUAAUACGUAGGGUGCAAGCGUUGUCCGGAUUUAUUGGGUUAAAGGGGUGCGCAGGCGGAAGAUCAAGUCAGCGGUAAAAUUGAGAGGAUCAACCUCUUCGAGCCGUUGAAACUGGUUUUCUUGAGUGAGUGAGAAGUAGGCGGAAUGCGUGGUGUAGCGGUGAAAUGCAUAGAUAUCACGCAGAACUCCGAUUGCGAAGGCAGCAUACCGGAGCGCAACUGACGCUCAUGCACGAAAGUGUGGGUAUCGAACAGGAUUAGAUACCCCAGUAGUC
Molecule: ribosomal RNA, 439 nt
Filed under: uncultured bacterium
Lineage: Bacteria
Description: partial 16S ribosomal RNA
Rfam family: Bacterial small subunit ribosomal RNA
Source: RNAcentral